AUAUAUUGUUUUGUUUAUUCACUGUCAUGUCUAUGUUCUUGAGCAUAAAAGACAUUGUUUUUAGAUGUCUUGAAGGCAAAAUGAAACUCAGAGCUUUUAUUUAAAUUUGCUUUCUGUACUGUCUCUGUAUUUUCGCUUUUGUUAAUGUAAAACUCUAGGAUCAUCCAACAACAGGUGUAGAACACAUUAAUAGUUCAAAUCUUAAGGGAAAAAUAAAAUAUUCUUUGGCUAUAGAUUUAAAAUUUCUUCCCUCUUCUUCUUUUAGUUUAAGAAAAGAGUCCUCUUUGGACUUGUAUUUAUUUUUCCCACAAUUAGAAUUGGAUUUUUACUAUUCCUAAGCAAAAGCUUUAAUGUUGGUGAUUGUAGUGUUUUAAUAAUAGUAGUUGUAGUGUAAUAGGACUAUGGUUUGGGAUCGGGUUUGUGCUACUACUAGGAAUGCUGCUGCUGCUUCCCACUUUCCAGUUUUAUAAGAUGUAUUAUGCUGAUAUCAAUUAAUGUACUCUGACAGCAGGAAAUCAACCUUUUUUUUUUAGUAUAAUAUGUAACUACAAAGUUUAAGAUACAGAGGAUGUCAGGACCUAUCAUUUCUUCAGCUUUAAUUAUUAUUUUCUAUGGAUCAAGUUGAACAUAAAAUCCCAAAGCACUAGUGAAGUCCUAGAGUUCUCAUUCUUUUUGCUUUGGUCACCAGGAGUAGUCCUACUAUAGAAAAACAAUGUCUGACAAUCAGAUGUAUGAUUUGGGAGGUGCUGAUAAGGUGGUUGGCAGAAUAUGAGCAGAAGAAGAGCAUAAUGAAACAUCUGGGAAAAAUUAGCUUUCUUAGUAGGGGAACCUCAAGUCCAGCCUGUUUAAAUCUAGCUACAGUAAAGAAAUUAGCACAUUCCUCUGAGAAACACAACUAACGUCAUGUCUGAAAUAGGUGUUUUCUUUCUUUCCUGGGGAGGAAAGCUAUGACAUGCCAUUUCCCCCCAAUAACCUUUUAUUAGAGGCAUCCUAAUAAAAUCUUAAGAUGAUGGGGAAAGUUGUAAUUUUUCAGCUGGAUUCAUUCUGUAGAGGUAGGGUUCUUCAAAAUAAAGAACUUAGCCUAGACUGGCCUUCUUGGUCUGUUGAUUCAUCUCACCCUUUAUUCUUAAGCAGUUUUUCAAACACUUGGAAAUAAAAUGAUGUGAAAUUUCAAAGUGGGUUUGAAUUCAAACUUCACUACUUAGUCAUUGUCAGUUUUUGCCCGUGGGCAAUUCAUGUAAUCUCUUUGUGUUUGUUUCCUUAUCUGCAAUAUACAAAAAAUAGUUACCUCAUAAUAUUGUUGUGAGAAUCAAAUGAGAUAAUGUGUGUGAAUUGCCUGACACCAGGCACUCAAGAAGAGUUCAUCCUUUUGCCCUUCCUUGCCUCUCUGAUUCUUGCCCAUUGAUUAAAAAAACAAAAACAAAAAAACAAAGACUGAAAGUUUGUGAUUUUCAUUUUGCUAUUUUAAUAUUUAUAAGGGUUUUUCAUAUUUUGGAAGCCAUGAGUUUGGGAUCUUUUUAAAAUUACAAAACCUUUCUAACUGUGGAGGUUUAUGUUAUGAAAUUUUAUACCUAGAUGUGACAAAGCUUUGUGUCAUAGCCUAAAUGCCGUGACUUUACUUAUCACUAGUAGUUGGUAAUAAUGAUCUUUUGAAACCAUCACUUUGCAACCUAUAGACAAAAGGAUUCGUAAAACACUGAUUUUCCCCCAAGUAAACUUUUAGAAACUAACUUAUUUUGUGAGUAGAAGAUUUUAUUUGCUCCUCUGAACCAGUACACAUCUUAUAUAGGUUCACAUUGCCUCAAAAGUGAUGUUAUUAAUGUAUAGAGAAAUAGUAACAUUUAUUAUCAGUCAAAUGGUGUGCUAAACACUUUAAAUGUAUUAUCUUAGUGUACCAUAAUGAUAAUAAUAAGGUGAAUAUUAUAUUCCUCAUUUUAUUGAUGAAGAAAUUGAGGCAAGUGGAGGUAAUUUAGCAGGGCACACAGAGCUAGUAAGUGAUUGCAUUUGGAAUUACUUAAAACUCUAAAAAUCAGAAUGGUAGGAAAAAGGUUUAUUCCUUUUUCACACUGUCUGUCCAGGUGGAUUGCCAAGGAGGCAUCUGCUAAUUACAGUCCUUUAGGGAUCCAGGCUGAUGGACUCACCAUCUAGACAAAUUAUUCUCCUUUUAUCAAGAAAGGAAUAAGGGUAUAUGGUGAAUCAUACACCACUAUUAAAGCAUCUGCCCAGAGGUGACACACAUUAUUCAUGCUCACAUUUCAUUAAUCAGUUUAAGUUAUAUGGUCAUGCCUAACUUCAGAGGGACUAGAAAAUGCAGUCUGAUCAUGUACCAUGAAAGAUGACUGGUGUAUUUGUGAACAGCCCUAGUGACUAACACAGAGAUGGAGUGGGGAUCGAAUCCAGAUCUGUCUAUCUCCAAAAUUAACUCCCUUAAUUACUUCAGCAAAUUGAUAGGACCUUACCUUCAGUAAGUAAAAGUUUGUGGCCAUUAACCAUAGGAAUAAUAAUAUUCUUCUGUCUAUGAAGAAUCUAAUAAAUGUCAUAAAAUAGCAGUAGAAUCUUCAAUUGUCUCAGUCUGUGCCUGGUCCUAGGUAUAUUUCCUAGGUAUGAUGUUUUCAGGAUCCAGUCACUUUCCUGUGUUGACUCUGUAAAGUAAUAUAAAGUCAUUUCUACAUUUCUUCUCUCGUUUGAAAAAUUGAAGAUAAGAGAAAUUGUGAGAACAUAUCUAAGGGGCUUCCUACAAAACGUCAGGUAUGGAUAGUCUUUUUAAGAUAUUUCUUUUUCUAACUGGUGUAUAUCAUUAGGAGUUACAUUUGGUUGCAUGUAAUAGAGCCCUUAUUGCAGGGCUUUUUCACUCGUAAAUAAGAAAUGCUGAAGUGAGCAGUCCAGGCUGAAGAUGCAGCUGAAAAUGACAUCGGGGACCCAGAUUUCUUCUGUGUUUCUGUCCAUCCUUGUAUGUAUUUGCCUUUAACCUUCAUGUUUUUUGCUCCAUAGUCACAUGAUGUUCUAGGCAAAAAGAAGAGGUAAAAGCCUAUGCUUGCUGAGUCUGGCCUGACGUAAGGCCUUCUACUUACAUCUUUUUGGAUAAAGUAUAUCAUUAAUUAGUGUAAUAUUACUAGCUGAACACAUUACCACCUUGAAUAAAAUUUUGGAUUUUUAAAAUAAGGAAGAAAAGAAUAGAUAUGGAGAAGCAGCUACCCACUGACUGCCACAAAUUUGUAAGAGUUCAUUGUAAAUUAAAGCUGUCAACCCCUUUGCCACCACUUCUUUUGUAUAUGUGGGGGAACAUAUUAUCACAUAGACAUUGUGACAUUUUUGUAGUUAAAUCUAUCUUUGUUCCUUUUAUUUAUUUAUUUAUUUUUAAACAAUCUGCACUAUAGAGUUUUUGCUGUUGUUAUUUAAAAGAGUUAGAUCAAGGAUCUCAGGCCCAAGGUACAAAUAUGACUCACAUAUGUUUAAAACAUGGACUUAGUGUUUUUAUUUUUUUCUAAUUUGUGAAUUCCUUCAGGAAGGAUAUAUGGUCCAGUUGUUUUACAACCCUCGCCAGUCUUUGUUAUCUUGUAGAUCCACCUCGUUCAUAUGUUUAUGUUAUGUAUCUGGCCCUAUAGGUAUCUGAAUGUACCAGAUGUAUCAGAUGUACCAAAACCUGGAUCUCUAACUUGUAUGUGUCUCAUGGACUAGUGUGAGAGAAUUAGUAAACUUAUCCAUUGCUGCCGUUAUUUUAUUGUUAUCAAAUAGCAGGAAACUUGUAUUAGACUGCAGUUGAAACUGAAUUAACUAAUUUGUACCUAAAUGCCUCUUUUAGUUUGCUUGGUACAGAUUAGUCAUUAUAAUGGCAACACCUUUUUGUAGUGUUUGAAUAUAUUAAUGUAUAAAACUAAAUUUAGACUUUAUCAUCUAUAUGGAAAAUUAGUAUUGGCGUCUUAUUGAAAUUCCUUAGGUAAUAUAUAAGUUAUGAAUUUAAAGAAAUUAUUUAUUUAGAAAUUAUCAUAUAUUUAUUAGAGUAAUAUUGCUUUUCAUAGUUCAAAGCCAGUAAUAAAAAUAUAAUCCCUUUUUCUGAAGAAAAAAUAUAGAUAGAAUAUAAUGAUUUGUCACAGACACUUUUUUUAGUAUCUUUCUUUUUUUAUCUUAACAGACUUUGCUUCGCCCUCUUCAAGCUUUAUGUUCUUUCCAGCUUCAGCAUGGUGCUCAAAUUCGCCUCAGCAAGGAACACCUUCUGAAAAAUGGAUUAUAUCCUAAGCCAAUGCCAAAGAACAAACGCAAACUCAGGAAAAUGGAAUUGUUGAUGAAUAGCAUUAAAAUUUAGCGCAAUUGUUCUCAUGGUGCUAGUUAUGAUGUCUUCAGCUGAGAAUACCGAGUUAACUUUUUAUACGUUUUAAAUGCGGGUUUUUGUCUAAUGAAUGAGAGUUACAUACUAAACUUACCCAGAAAAAGGAGUAAUCCAAAUAGCCAUAAAAGCAAACACACCAACAAAUUUCACUGACUCAGUAAAUUGCAAACUUUAUUGUUUUUAAAAUGUGCCUCUGAUACAUUUUUGUCAAAUCCGUAAUUUGAAACAUGAUUAGUUGUUGAGCUGGGUUAGAAAUUCCUAUUUAUGAAAUGGAAUGUAAGGAAAUUGGUGUGCCUAAUUGGGACAG
Molecule: long non-coding RNA, 4634 nt
Filed under: Sus scrofa (pig)
Lineage: Eukaryota; Metazoa; Chordata; Mammalia; Artiodactyla; Suidae
Description: lncRNA (ENSSSCG00015073123.1)
Source: RNAcentral